Molecule: ribosomal RNA, 484 nt
Filed under: uncultured bacterium
Lineage: Bacteria
Description: partial 16S ribosomal RNA
Rfam family: Bacterial small subunit ribosomal RNA
Source: RNAcentral
AUUGAACGCUGGCGGCAGGCCUAACACAUGCAAGUCGAGCGGAUGAAGGGAGCUUGCUCCUGGAUUCAGCGGCGGACGGGUGAGUAAUGCCUAGGAAUCUGCCUGGUAGUGGGGGAUAACGUCCGGAAACGGGCGCUAAUACCGCAUACGUCCUGAGGGAGAAAGUGGGGGAUCUUCGGACCUCACGCUAUCAGAUGAGCCUAGGUCGGAUUAGCUAGUUGGUGGGGUAAAGGCCUACCAAGGCGACGAUCCGUAACCGGUCUGAGAGGAUGAUCAGUCACACUGGAACUGAGACACGGUCCAGACUCCUACGGGAGGCAGCAGUGGGGAAUAUUGGACAAUGGGCGAAAGCCUGAUCCAGCCAUGCCGCGUGUGUGAAGAAGGUCUUCGGAUUGUAAAGCACUUUAAGUUGGGAGGAAGGGCAGUAAGUUAGUACCUUGCUGUUUUGACGUUACCAACAGAAUAAGCACCGGCUAACUUCGUG